RNAcentral lists this ribosomal RNA (430 nucleotides) under bacterium. Its description in RNAcentral is "partial 16S ribosomal RNA". It matches the Rfam family "Bacterial small subunit ribosomal RNA", at positions 355 to 776 of the family's 1533-position model. The record is from RNAcentral.
UGGGGAAUAUUGGACAAUGGGCGCAAGCCUGAUCCAGCCAUGCCGCGUGUGUGAAGAAGGCCUUUUGGUUGUAAAGCACUUUAAGCGAGGAGGAGGCUACUUGGAUUAAUACUCUAGGAUAGUGGACGUUACUCGCAGAAUAAGCACCGGCUAACUCUGUGCCAGCAGCCGCGGUAAUACAGAGGGUGCGAGCGUUAAUCGGAUUUACUGGGCGUAAAGCGUGCGUAGGCGGCUUUUUAAGUCGGAUGUGAAAUCCCUGAGCUUAACUUAGGAAUUGCCUUCGAUACUGGGAAGCUAGAGUAUGGGAGAGGAUGGUAGAAUUCCAGGUGUAGCGGUGAAAUGCGUAGAGAUCUGGAGGAAUACCGAUGGCGAAGGCAGCCAUCUGGCCUAAUACUGACGCUGAGGUACGAAAGCAUGGGGAGCAAACAGG